AACGAACGCUGGCGGCAUGCCUAACACAUGCAAGUCGAACGAGAUCUUCGGGUCUAGUGGCGCAAGGGUGCGUAACGCGUGGGAAUCUGCCUUUUGGUUCGGAAUAAUAGUUGGAAACGACUACUAAUACCGGAUGAUGACGAAAGUCCAAAGAUUAAUCGCCAGAGGAUGAGCCCGCGUAGGAUUAGCCAGUUGGUGUGGUAAAGGCGCACCAAGGCGACGAUCCUUAGCUGGUCUGAGAGGAUGAUCAGACACACUGGGACUGAGAUACGGCCCAGACUCCUACGGGAGGCAGCAGUGGGGAAUAUUGGACAAUGGGCGAAAGCCUGAUCCAGCAAUGCCGCGUGAGUGAUGAAGGCCUUAGGUUUGUAAAGCUCUUUUACCCGGGAUGAUAAUGACAGUACCGGGAGAAUAAGCUCCGGCUAACUCCGUGCCAGCCGCCGCGGUAA
RNAcentral lists this ribosomal RNA (449 nucleotides) under uncultured bacterium. RNAcentral describes it as "partial 16S ribosomal RNA". It matches the Rfam family "Bacterial small subunit ribosomal RNA", at positions 29 to 523 of the family's 1533-position model. The record is from RNAcentral.